RNAcentral lists this ribosomal RNA (336 nucleotides) under uncultured Streptococcus sp. RNAcentral's name for it is "bacterial SSU rRNA". It matches the Rfam family "Bacterial small subunit ribosomal RNA", at positions 1045 to 1382 of the family's 1533-position model. Lineage: Bacteria; Bacillati; Bacillota; Bacilli; Lactobacillales; Streptococcaceae. The record is from RNAcentral.
AUGGUUGUCGUCAGCUCGUGUCGUGAGAUGUUGGGUUAAGUCCCGCAACGAGCGCAACCCCUAUUGUUAGUUGCCAUCAUUCAGUUGGGCACUCUAGCGAGACUGCCGGUAAUAAACCGGAGGAAGUGGGGGAUGACGUCAAAUCAUCAUGCCCCUUAUGACCUGGGCUACACACGUGCUACAAUGGUUGGUACAACGAGUUGCGAGUCGGUGACGGCGAGCUAAUCUCUUAAAGCCAAUCUCAGUUCGGAUUGUAGGCUGCAACUCGCCUACAUGAAGUCGGAAUCGCUAGUAAUCGCGGAUCAGCACGCCGCGGUGAAUACGUUCCCGGGCCUU